Molecule: transfer RNA, 74 nt
Filed under: Patescibacteria group bacterium
Lineage: Bacteria
Description: tRNA-Ala
Rfam family: tRNA
About the family: Transfer RNA (tRNA) molecules are approximately 80 nucleotides in length. Their secondary structure includes four short double-helical elements and three loops (D, anti-codon, and T loops).
Source: RNAcentral
GGGCCUAUAGCUUAGUGGUAAAGCGCAUGCAUGGCAUGCAUGAUAUCGGGGUUCGAUUCCCCGUAGGUCCACCA